ACGCAUCCCUGACGGCGAGGGUGCGCCCUGCUCCGGACCGAAAGGCCGUGCAGCGGGUGCGCCUGGACCGCUCAACUUUGCAAACCCCACUGUGCACUCUUGUCGGUGAGGGGCUCAACGGCCCCGAGCCGGAUCACAAACACCAAAUUCCAAAAGAAUGAAAGCGGACUUUGUGCCGCCUAAACUUAAA
This 190-nucleotide unclassified non-coding RNA is filed under the name uncultured fungus. Its description in RNAcentral is "sequence contains ITS1, 5.8S rRNA gene". Lineage: Eukaryota; Fungi. The record is from RNAcentral.